RNAcentral lists this ribosomal RNA (454 nucleotides) under Veillonella parvula. RNAcentral's name for it is "bacterial SSU rRNA". It matches the Rfam family "Bacterial small subunit ribosomal RNA", at positions 28 to 456 of the family's 1533-position model. The record is from RNAcentral. Lineage: Bacteria; Bacillati; Bacillota; Negativicutes; Veillonellales; Veillonellaceae.
GACGAACGCUGGCGGCGUGCUUAACACAUGCAAGUCGAACGAAGAGCGAUGGAAGCUUGCUUCUAUCAAUCUUAGUGGCGAACGGGUGAGUAACGCGUAAUCAACCUGCCCUUCAGAGGGGGACAACAGUUGGAAACGACUGCUAAUACCGCAUACGAUCUAAUCUCGGCAUCGAGGAUAGAUGAAAGGUGGCCUCUACAUGUAAGCUAUCACUGAAGGAGGGGAUUGCGUCUGAUUAGCUAGUUGGAGGGGUAACGGCCCACCAAGGCGAUGAUCAGUAGCCGGUCUGAGAGGAUGAACGGCCACAUUGGGACUGAGACACGGCCCAGACUCCUACGGGAGGCAGCAGUGGGGAAUCUUCCGCAAUGGACGAAAGUCUGACGGAGCAACGCCGCGUGAGUGAUGACGGCCUUCGGGUUUGUAAAAGCUCUGUUAAUUCGGGACGAAAAGGGCC